This 253-nucleotide ribosomal RNA is filed under the name uncultured bacterium. Its description in RNAcentral is "partial 16S ribosomal RNA". It matches the Rfam family "Bacterial small subunit ribosomal RNA", at positions 524 to 776 of the family's 1533-position model. The record is from RNAcentral.
GACCGAGGUCCCGAGCGUUAGGCGGAAUCACUGGGCUUAAAGCGUGUGUAGGCGGCGGCCUAAGUACCUUGUGAAAUCCCACGGCUCACCCGUGGAACUGCUCGGUAUACUGGGUCGCUUGAGCCACUUAGGGGCUACCGGAACAAAUGGUGGAGCGGUGAAAUGCGUAGAUAUCAUGUGGAACGCCAAUGGUGAAAACAGGUAGCUGGGAGUGUGCUGACGCUGAGACACGAAAGCCAGGGGAGCAAACGGG